CCUACUCACCACUUGUAUGGGGCCCUCUGUAAAGUUAAGAGUUUUAUCCACUCCGUUCAUCUCUUUUCUCGUAUAAUUUUAUGGCAUCUUCUUUAGUGGUGCGAUAGUUUUGGAUCGUCUAGGCGGGGAGUAGGAUGCAACUGAUGCGGAUUUCCUGCUAAAGCUUUUCUAAGAAAGUUUCUGCACAAGGAUGCUGGGUGGGGCCCACUAUAAUGUAUGUGAGAAAUCUACUCCGUCCAUCUUUUUUACUAGUUCAUUUUAGGAGGUGCGACCAAAGUUGAGGUGGAUACAAAACUCAAGUGGGUCACACGAGAGGGAAAACUGAGGAAAGAAAUUUCUAUCGUUGAAACCUAUUUGAGCUCCACCUUGAUGUUUAUAUGCUAUCCAAACUGUUUAUAAGGUCAUUUCCAAUGGGAUGAAUUGAAAACACUAAAAAGAUAGCCUGAUACAAAAGUUUUAUGGCCAUAAUAAUGCUUCAACUAUGCUCACUUAAUGCCCAAUGUUUCCUCUCAUGUGGCCUACUUGAGUAUUGGAUACACCUAAUUUUUGGUCCCACCUCCUAAAAUGAACUCGCAAAACGGAUGGACGAAAUGGAUUUCUCACAUACAUCUCCAUCGGCCCCCCUCAGCAUCCUUGCGUACAAACGCGAAUGGCUUUCGGACGCAAGCCGCUUCCCUCGCCUAGUCCGCUCCCCUGUACACCCCAGACCUCCCGAUGGCCUGGCGACAACGCCCAAAAAUUCCCAAGCAUGGACAAAUCCAAUCCUUAAACACUCAUUCCACUCCUCAUCUCCGUUUGAUUGCGUCGAGCUGCUGGCCACGGGUCCUUGCCCUCAUUUCUAUACUCUUUGUGUGUGUGUGUGUGUGUGUGUGUGUCUCUCUCUCUCUCUCAUUUGAUUCUCAAAUAACCUGGAAAUCAUAAUCCGAAACUCAAAUUUAUCCCUUUUAGCGAUUCUCCAUCAGAUUCUCUCUGGAAUGGUACAAAUCCCACCUAUUUCCACGAAAAAUCCACUUUCCAUGUAGUUUUCCAGGGCAUUUUCAGAAAUUCCCAUUGAAUCCUCCUCCAUCAUUCCCGAUCUAGGUAAAUAAGUGUGAAAUUUUGUUGUUUGGAUUUUCUAGGGUUUCAUAUGAGGAUCUGGAUGGGAGUUUCAUGUCUUAGUGGCGUUUACGGUUUUUAUUUUUUUUUGGGGUAUGGAAGAGAAGCCACAACUGUUGAUACUGUACACUUCACAGACUGGAAAUGCUUUGGAUGCAGCAGAACGUGUUGAGCAUGAGGAAGAGUGCUUGGGCUGUCGUGCCUUGGUCCUCUCCAUGGAUGAAUUAGAUGUGAGGUAUGCCAGAAAACCCAGCUAGAACUUGUACCUUGGAGGCCGAAGAAGGAGCCAUAUGCAUGAGAAUUAACUAUGGGUUCUCUUUGAAGGUCCUUGCUAGCAGGAGUAUAAUCUAAUGAUUUGUUGGUCAGGCUUCAUAUGCAGAAUUCGUUGCAGAAGCACAGGCUUUUGCAUCCCGGAUCAUUGAUCUGAUGGGCCCUCAUGAAGGGACCAUGCACAGUGGAGCAGCAUGACCGUCCGAUCAACCGGCAUCCAACUUUGACACGGUGUUUUUCUCCAAGGUUGCUCUUCUAACUGCUUUUCAUCUCCUACAAGUUGAUCGGUAUUUUCACGCUGGCAGUCUCUACAAGGUUCAAUAAAAACGUGAUUCCUUUGAAGGAGAUUGUAACUUCUUCAGAUUUUCAUAGAGAAAUUGACAAGGACGAUCAAGGUAAUCUAGGUGUGUUUCUCAACAUGGCAUCCAAUUUUGACCUAUGAGAUUAUGAUGGGAUUCAAGGGUGUUUUCAUUAUUUUAAUGGCCUAAAAAAAGUCCAUUUCCUUCAUUAAACUGACCCUUGGAAAUUAGGUGUUUACCAAUUUUCCUUGUCAGUGCUAUAUGAAACAGCUAUUGGAUGGGCUCUGUUAUUGCCGUGCUAAUCAAGUGCUUCAUUGUAACAUCAAAGGCAGAUCAAUUGCAUAAAAUUUAUUUGUUGUGUGUAUCUGCUGAUGAAGACAACUGGCCUGGGGUUUCCAAAUUGCCCAAGUUGCUUAGGUUACAAAAUCUGGAGAUAACGGAUUUGGAUGUCCAUAUCGCCAUCAGUUCCACGAGUGAAAUAGAGAUGUAUCCCUAUUAUUCAAAGUGGUUGAGGGGGCAGUGUGACUUGCCUUUGAAACUUAACCAGUGGUGCAAUGUUGUUCGCUAUCAAUAGUAAACCUUUGUUUUAGCACAAAAGCAUAGUAACUUGAUCUGGAUCCGAUGGACUUGAAGUCUACCCCUCUUUUCGCUGAUCCCGUUCCCACAAACAAGUCGAGAUUGGGCCUGCAUUCUAGUUUGUUGUCUUUCCCACCACUAGUGUUGUCGUUUCCUUCGGCAUUGUAUUUGACGAUUCCCUGGAAAAAGCCGAUACCUGGAAACCCGAUGACGUCCGUGCCAACGAUUGUCUGGAUGCUAUGAAAUCCUCAUCACCUCGCUAAAAGCUAAUCAAGGAUUCAAAUAUCGAGGCCGUGUCAGAUGAAAAUGAUGCUGCGUAUUGCUUGUGGGUGGUCAGUUUAGAUUCUGCUGGUAUCCAAAGCUAAAG
Magnolia sinica is the source of this 2607-nucleotide long non-coding RNA. RefSeq lists it as uncharacterized. The transcript has 7 exons. Lineage: Eukaryota; Viridiplantae; Streptophyta; Magnoliopsida; Magnoliales; Magnoliaceae. The record is from RefSeq and is a predicted model, not a curated record.